CUUCCUCUCCAAGCACUCGAACCGUUAUUCCUUACCCACACAUUCAAACUCCCUUGCAAACUCAGGCAAUUGAUCCAUCCCUUAUAUUAAUCGAUAAUCAUAUCUGAACACUUUUGGUCCAUUAAAUCUUAACAUUCACUGGUCGUAUUUACUCAACCAUAUUUUUAAAACACCCUAAAACACUCAUCCUCUUCGCUGACCAAACACUAGCUGCAACCACCUCAAACACCACCAUCACUGCCAUCGAUUCCACCCUUCUAACUUCCCUUUCACCCUAAUUAAAAAAUCUUCCUCCCCUGAGAUGAGCGAGGCUAAAAUAAAAGAGAUGAAGAUUCAGGAAAAAUACUAAAUGAAAAAAGCUUACUCUCAUAUUAACAUGAGAUCUUUCGUAUUAGAACACCUUCGCCCCCACCUCUGAUCCUAAUACCAUAUACUUGACCAAUACGAACUAUGAGCACCCAACUUAUUGGAAAGGAUGUACUGGCACCUAAGGGGUGAAUGGGUUGUAAUCACUAUUUAUGUCCUAAGGUAUGGAGUGUGAUUCCCCCUCCACGAUUUUAUUUUUUCAUUUUUUUUGCUUUGUUGGGAUCGGAUUCGCACAACUGGUGCGGAACUCCUAUAUCCAUCUUAUAUUCUUCAUCGUUUUAAACCAAAAAUGUGGAUUUGAAACCUCCUAGAACUUCAUUACAAUGUUUACCAUAGGCCGGUCAAAAGAACCAGGGUACCGUCAACUGAACAAACAACCAAAUCUACGCGUAUGGAUGAAAAUUCCCUCUAACAACAAUGGGUGUCAUUCACACUGGGUAUUCAUCAAGGGCCAUGACACCAACUUCGGGUUUGACUCUACCUGCCCCAAAUUAGGACGAAGAAUUCAAAGCCUUCUACUCCAAGAUGUCGAAUACAGGCUGGUACCUAGACCUACUAUCUGACCAGAUUUGUCUUUUCAACCGCAAAUGUAAGUCAUAAAUUUAGUAAAAUAUAUUAGAUACAAAACUCAUUAAACCCAAAUUCUGAAUAAUAUUUACUUGCUUGUAGUAACCAUCUUCAAACUACAACCAAUCACCUACAUUGGAUCAAAAACCAUCAUCUGACGUCGUACCAACCAAACAUGCCCCUGAACCAAUAUCCGAUGCCCCAAAAGAUAUCUCACAAGAAGAAAAACUAAUCGUGGUGACACAAAUUUUUGCUUUCCUGAUGCCCGAUGUCGACGUCGAGAAUUUUAUUUGUCCCUUUUCGUUACUUGUUCUUUGGUGUUCUCAUGUUAUGUGAGAUUUGUUUGAAAAAACAAGUGAAAAAAGUCCGACAUGUGUAAUGUCGACGAUUUGAUUGUAAGAGUCGCCAGUUGGUGUUUUUAACUGGUUGCACCAACGCAACCGAGAAAAGGUUUGCACAUUGACCCAAUGAUAUGACACUGCUAAACGGGUCUGUGAAACCUAGAUUCAUUUGGGUUCGGGGGUUUGAUUAUGCGGGGGGAAGGUGUUAGGUACCCCCUGACAUCCGUGUUGCCACGGUGACCACUACUUUUCAAGAAACUGUUAUAUGAAUGUGUGUGUGUGUAUGGAUCAAUGUGCAAUUAUUUGGAAGUAGUGCGAGGCCUCAUUCGCACAUAUAUACAAAGGGUUUGAAUUUGUAGAAAAAUUCAGUUUUAAACAUGAUAUAGCAGUGAGAUUUUGUAAAAGAGGUUUUUCAAGCCCUGUGCUCAAUAGUAAUUGAGACCUUUUCAUACUUCUAUUUUAUUAUUAAAUGUUCAGCUUGUUUGCUUUUAUUUUCGAGAUGCAAAGAAUCUUCGAGAAAAUAAUAUAUAGCAGUGCCGAACUCCUCAUGGGCAUGACAGCCAUCUAAGGAAAUUCAGACACCGUAAAUAAUAUACAAGCUGCUUACAGCUGAAAAUGUCCAUCACGGGAAUCGAAUCUAGAUUCAGUAUUGGAUUUGUUUGAAAAAACAAGUGAAAAAGAUCUGACAUGUGUAAUGUCGACGAUUUGACUGUAAUAGUCGCCAGUUGGUGUUUUUAAAUGGUUGCACCAACGCAACUGAGAAAAGGUUUUCACAUUAACCCAGUGAUAUGACACUGCUAAACGGGUCUGUGAAAUCAAGAUUCAUUUGGGUUCUGGGUUUAAUUAUGCCGGGGGAAGGUGUUAGGUACCCCCUGACAUCCGUGUUGCCACGGUGACCGCCACUUUUCAAGAAACUGUUAUAUGAAUGUGUGUGUGUGUGUGUGUGUGGAUUAAUGUGCAAUUAUUUAGAAGUAGUGCGAGG
This 2256-nucleotide long non-coding RNA is filed under the name Panax ginseng (ginseng). RNAcentral describes it as "long non-coding RNA (PGIN_LNC005106)". Lineage: Eukaryota; Viridiplantae; Streptophyta; Magnoliopsida; Apiales; Araliaceae. The record is from RNAcentral.